UACGGGGGGUGCAAGCGUUGUUCGGAAUUACUGGGCGUAAAGGGCUCGUAGGCGGCCAACUAAGUCAGACGUGAAAUCCCUCGGCUUAACCGGGGAACUGCAUCUGAUACUGGAUGGCUUGAGUUCGGGAGAGGGAUGUGGAAUUCCAGGUGUAGCGGUGAAAUGCGCAGAUAUCAGGAGGAACACCGAUUGCGAAGGCAGCUCGCUGGGACGUAACUGACGCUGAGACGCGAAAGCGUGGGGAGCAAACAGG
RNAcentral lists this ribosomal RNA (253 nucleotides) under uncultured bacterium. RNAcentral describes it as "partial 16S ribosomal RNA". It matches the Rfam family "Bacterial small subunit ribosomal RNA", at positions 524 to 776 of the family's 1533-position model. The record is from RNAcentral.